GAUGAACGCUAGCGGCAGGCCUAACACAUGCAAGUCGAGGGGCAGCACAGAAACAGCAAUGUUUUGGUGGCGACCGGCGGACGGGUGCGUAACGCGUAUGCAACCUACCUUUAACAGGGGGAUAACGGAGAGAAAUUUUCACUAAUACCCCAUAACAUCGAUCAAGGCAUCUUGAUUGGUUGAAAACUCCGGUGGAUAAAGAUGGGCAUGCGUUGUAUUAGGUGGUUGGUGAGGUAAUAGCUCACCAAGCCUACGAUACAUAGGGGGACUGAGAGGUUAGCCCCCCACACUGGUACUGAGACACGGACCAGACUCCUACGGGAGGCAGCAGUGAGGAAUAUUAGUCAAUGGGGGCAACCCUGAACCAGCCAUGCCGCGUGCAGGAAGACGGCUCUAUGAGUUGUAAACUGCUUUUAAACAGGGAUAAAGCACAGUAUGUAUACUGUGUUGAAGGUACUGUAAGAAUAAGGAUCGGCUAACUCCGUGCCAGCCGCCGCCGUAA
This 502-nucleotide ribosomal RNA is filed under the name uncultured bacterium. Its description in RNAcentral is "partial 16S ribosomal RNA". It matches the Rfam family "Bacterial small subunit ribosomal RNA", at positions 28 to 523 of the family's 1533-position model. The record is from RNAcentral.